This 738-nucleotide long non-coding RNA is filed under the name Gallus gallus (chicken). Lineage: Eukaryota; Metazoa; Chordata; Aves; Galliformes; Phasianidae. The record is from RNAcentral.
GUUCAUCCUGGAGGCAGCGAGUACUGCUCGAAGGCAAAUGGACAGCACGCACUCACAUCCUUAGUUUUACAGAAACUGCUUUACUGUGGAUAGUAUCUGUUGCUGUAAGGAAGACAGCAAAUUGGGAGAUAGAAACAAAGAAGAGUUGGAGCUAUGGAAGUUGUUGAGAAGAAAGAAGUUUCGGGGUAUACGUAAAGACAGCAGAAAAGAGGAGAGGCAGACAAGUGGGGGACAGAAAGAAAAGCCAGGUAUAACUGUGGUAAGAAGCUCUCCCAGGGGAAAACUGCUGACGUACUCCACAACUCUAAUAGUGUUUUUAUACUAUGGGUAAGUUAAUAUAUUUAAUUCUGAUGUGCUUUAUAACCUUGUAUGUAUAGUAUAUUUGAACUGCAAAGCACUGUUAUACUUGGCCAAAAUAAAAAAGUAAAUUCAAACUUUUUUUAAUCCAGUCAAACAGCUUGAGCUAUUAUAUUUAGCCAUUAUGGACCCCAGCAGAGGUCUAGGAAUCUCAUUAAGAAUGUAAAUGUCAGGUAGGUCACUUAAGAACCUCAUUAUGGGGAAGAACCCAAGUAUCAAAAGUGGUUAUACAUAACAUAAAUGGCUGGCCAACUUGAAUAUUGCAGAAGAGAAAUCCUGCAGAGCUCUGUAAUGUAGUUUAAUUGGAAUGACAAUUACUACCAGCUUUAUCUUGAUAUAAUGAAGAUUAAGUGUAUGGAUAACUAGACCUGUGCUUAAGCA